This 6365-nucleotide long non-coding RNA is filed under the name Panax ginseng (ginseng). Its description in RNAcentral is "long non-coding RNA (PGIN_LNC017714)". Lineage: Eukaryota; Viridiplantae; Streptophyta; Magnoliopsida; Apiales; Araliaceae. The record is from RNAcentral.
AGUAAUAACAUCUUUCUCAGCUCUGAUUAUUCUUCCGAUCAACAAAAGAGUGUUGAAACUAGGCGAAGCUCAUCAUCGAUCCUCGAAACGUCCGCUACCUUCCCCUUCCUCAUCUCCUCUUCCUAAUGGCAAACGAUCAAAGGUGGGUUCGCCUUCUAUUUUGGUUAGGGCUUAUCUAAAUUCUUACAAAUUUCUAUAUUUAUGUACAUGUGCAUGAAUGGAUUUUUGUGAUUGGUUUGAGUUUGAUUGGUUCUGUUCGGUGCGCCAGGCGGCUGAGUCUUCGUCCUCAACUAACGACACGUCGCCGCCUGAAACCCUAGGUUCGGCGAAGGAUUUCGGUGGGGAAUCAAGAGAGCAGGAGGUUCGAUCAUCUGAUCCGUAUGUUGUUUUUUCAAAGUCAAUAUUAGGGGAUAAAGCAACCACUCAUUGAUCUUCGCAUUCUCGAUCCCAUUUUAUCUGACCCUUCUACCAUUUUGACCCGUGAAAAGGCCAUUGUUAUCAUUUAGAGGUACUGGAACUGAAAUAAAUAGGUUUCUUUUAAAUUUUUGUUGUGCAAAUAUCUGUCAUGUUUUCAUCUGCACCUAUCCGUGUCCCAUGCAUAUAUCUAAGCAAUAAUGUCAACUUUAAUAGAUCCUAAAUACCCUCUUUUUUGCCGGCCCUACCAGAAUACGCUUUGCUUCCGCAAACAGCUUGAAUUCGAAUUCUUAUUAAGUUUUCAUUGUUAUACUAACAAGAAAAUCCAAUUUUGUUCUUUUUAUUCUAUAAUAUCAAUAUCUCAAUGUAAGGGUGGGUUUGAUUCUGUGAUCACAAUGUGUCUAAGCAUGGGGUAGCUUGAAGAAGCUAAGAGUUUGUCUCAUGGAGCAGGUGAGAAAAAAUUGUUGUCUUAGGCGGGUCUUGUCUUAGCAAGUUAGUAAAUUAAAGAAUGGUUAUAUUUAUUGGAUUUCUUAGCAUGGUUGAGUCAAACUUAUUAUUAGUUAUGGUUGGUGUGCAAUAAUUUUGAAUUUUUAGACUUUAAGUUCUAUUUAUAUUAUGUGUGAACUUGGGAAAGAGUGAUGGAAAGGAAAAGAAAAUGAAAGUUAAUUUUUUAAAGAUUUAUCAACAAUUCUACACAUUAAAUUUUAAGAUCUAUACUUGAUAUUAGGUUAUCAGAUGUAGAUAUCAAUAUAUCAUUAGACUAAUUAUAUCCAUUAGGAGGUUUUUUCAGUGUUCUAAAAAUUCCCGCUUAGGUUUGUCUAGGCCCCGCCUAGGCGCUAGACCCCCCAUGGCUCCCCUCCUAGGUGCUAGGCCCCCUGGCGCUUCACCUAGGCGGCAAAAAUAUCCCUCCAGGAAAUUAGGAAGUGCCUAAGCGGAGAGAUGUUUUUUUUAUUUUAAUAACUACCCAAACCAGAUCUUGAUUUAUUUAUUUUUCUAAUGAUUUAUCAUAUUCAUAAUGCUGGUUGUAGCAUAUCAAAUUACAACAAGAAGUGAACAAUAUCAAGUCAAAAUGGAUAAUUUUAUUAUAGCUGUAAUUUUUUGAACUUGUACCAAGUUCAAAUUAUGUAAAUGAUGAUACAUUUGUAAUAUUUAGUUUAAUUUAAUAUAAUUCUUAAAUUUAUGUUUAGUUUCUUAUGUUUUAAUAUUGAAUUGAAUUCUUGAAAUUUUAUUAUUUAAUAACAAUCUUGUUUAUGAAUAAAACUAAUACGUAAAAGAUAUGUUUGAACUUUGAACAAUUGCAUGUUUGUGUUUGAACUUUGACAUUGACAAUAUGGAUGUGUUUGAAGUUUAAGCAAAUGUCAUUAUUAUCUUUAUUAUAGAUUAUUUUGUUUUAUAUUAUUGUUUUGUUUGGAUAAAUGUAAGAUAAAUUAUUAAAAUUGGCUUAAAAUAAAAAAUUUUACCUAGGCCCCGUACAUGCCCUGCAUAGGCCCCCCGGCCCGCCGUCUCCCGCCUUUUAGAACAUUGGGUUUUUCCCCUUGUAACAUUUCCUUUAGCCUGAGUCCUUAGUUUUGGCAUUGGUCAUCCUUGCUGAACUUGGAGGAAAGUUGUUAUUCCUAUUACUAGAAAAUAAUUUGAACCUGAUACUAAUAUAGAUAAUGAUCAUCAAAUGUGCCAAAGUGGAAAUUUUACAGAUGGUAAUGAUUUAAUAUAUUGGAACACCACAGUUUUUACAUGGUUCAGAUUUUUUUUGCAUACUACUUUGAAAUUUUGGAGGUAAAACAAUGAAAUAUUGACUAAAUGUACUCAGUGUUCUAAAAAUCUCCGCCUAGGUCCGCCUACGUGCUAGCCCCCCCGCCUAGGCGCUGGCCCCCUGGCGCCUCACCUAGGCCCAGUGUGGAAAAAAAAUUCCUCCAAGAAAUUAGGCGGGGUUUAGACAGAGAGGUUUUUUUUUUAUUUUAAUAACUAUCCAAACAGAUCUUGAUAUAUUUAUUUUUCUAAUGAUUUACCAUAUUCAUAAUACAUGUUGUAGCAUAUCAAAUCACAACAAAAAGUGAACAAUACAAGUCAAAAUGAAUAAUUUUACUAUAGUUGUAAUUUUUUGAAGAUCACCUUCAAAUUAUAUAAAUGAUACAUUUGUCAUAUUUAGUUUAAUUCAAUAUAAUUUAUAAAUUUAAGUUUAGUAUCUUAAGUUUUAAUAUUGAAUUAAAUUCUUGAAAUUUUAAAUUUUAUUAUUUAAUAGCAAUCUUUUUUAUGAAUAAAACUAAUACGUUAAAAAUAUGUUUGAACUUUGAACAAUUGCGUGUUUGUGUUUGAACUUUGACAUUAACAAUAUGGAUAUGUGUUUGAACUUUAAGCAAAUGUCUUUAUUAUCUUUAUUAUAGAUUUUAUUUUAUAUUAUUGUUUUAUUUGGAUAAAUGUAAGAUAAAAUAUUAAAAUUGACUUAAAAUAAAAAAUUCCGUCUAGGCUCCGCCCAGGCCCCCCUCGGCCUCCCGCCUUUUAGAACAUUGAAUGUACUAAAUUGUAGCUAACAAAACAAUCAAUAUCAAGAAAUUGACUAACAUAAAGCAAUUCAUUACCCUCAGCUAAAACUUAGAUAAAUUUGAUAUACUUGAUAACGUAAAGCAAUUCAUUAAAAUGUGAUUUUUUUUUUAAGUUGUUUUUUUUAAAAAAUUGUGAGAUGUGUUUCUAUUUAACUUUUUUAUGUUGGAUUUUUUUUUGGGUGUGAAAAUAGGGAUUUUAAAUGAUCAAUUUUUGCAGGUUUAGAGAUUGUGCGAUGAUCGCAACCCAAAUUUUGUGAACAAAGUGGUGACCCUCUUCUUUGAAGUUCUGAGAAUCUUCUCCUCCACUUGAACAUUGCUCUGUGAGGGUUUUUUAGCUUCUUUAUGGUUUGUUUAGCAAUUAUGUGUUGUAGUAAUCGUUGUUAUUGUUCAAAUUUUGAAUGUGAUAAAGUUUUGUAGUUUCAGUUUAUUAUAGCAAAAUCAGAAACAACAGGAGUUCAUUGUAGCUACCAUUACUGAGCUAUCCCCAUUCUUUUUCUUCAACUCCGUCUCUGCCUGUUGUGGCUCGAUUAUGCUCCGAAUCUGGAUUCCCGGCUCUCCGAUUUGAUCAAGAUGGUUCUCAACUUCACUACUUCGAGCUUCAGCUAUCUUAGGUUAAUUUUCCAUUUUUAAACUCACUUAAUUAUAUAUACUUUACUUUGAAGAGUUGCAUUUAUGUUGUUUAGUGGGAUUUUGUUUUUCGUAAAUAGUUGUAGAGUUAUGAGAAACUUUUCCUUCAGUUGAACAUUGCUCUAUGAGGGUUCUUUAGCUUCUUUAUGGAUUGUUUAGAAAUUCAAUGUUGCGGUAAUGGUUGUUAUUGUUCUCAAUGAAUGUGAUGAAGUUUUGUAGUUUCAGUUUAUUAUAUUUGAAAAAUGUUUAGACUAUAAUUUUUAAUUUUGUGUAUUCUACAUGCAAAUAACUUAUUAUAAAAAAAAAAAAUUCUCAUCGGAAGUUUAGCAAAUUAUACCAUCCGUUAUUCAAACUAGCACAAGCUAUAAUAAUAAAUAUGAACACAAAUGCAUAUCUUUUAAAACCUAUAAAUUUUGUAAAUACUAAAACUUUUUCUCCUUUGGAACUUGGGGAGUAAUUGGCGAUGCAUUAAAUAUAAAUUCUUUUGUCAUAAAUAGAACCUUUAAUAGUUUUCACAUGUAUGAAGUGUGGUUGAGUGUUGAGAGCGUGUUUACGCAAGGCCGUAUUAAGUUACAAGAAUUAAAAACGCGAUCUGCGAAGAAACAAAGAAGAAGAUAGAGAGAGAAAAAAGGAAACUACCGUCUCUGUCUUCUUCUCUGCACACUUCCAAUCCUUUUACUUUUACCAAAAAUAUACACAGAAACUUGACUUCUCAGAUAAUUUGAGCUAAAAUUUGGGUGUGAGAGCUCUUAGAUCAAAUAUACCAAACUUGCAGGGAUUUAUUUAGCCAUUGGGCCCGCUCUUGUCCUUUAAAGCAAACCCACAACAGUGGCGUUCAAUUGGGUCUCUUUUCUUAGAAUUAACCUUUUCCUCCUUAUCGCCUUUCAGUCUCCCGUUUUUUUUGCAUCUGGGUCUCACUGAUUAUUAUCUAUCAAGAACCGUAGAUAAUCUUUAAUUCAUUAGUUCACUGUGUUUUAUGGGUUUUCUUUAAUUAGAGUAGUUAUUUGAAUAAUAGGGGGUCAAAUAAUGUUGUAGGUGGCAAAUUGUCAAUGCCAUGUUGUUUCCAAUUGAUAAUAUCUAAAAGAGUCGCUAAUUAUUUUAUUUUGUUUAUUUGUACAUUGUUUUGAUAACUGUGGUAGUGGAUUGAUUUUCUUCAUUGAGCUUAUUUAAUUGUUGUUGAAUUUGGUAUUGUCAGUCUCAAUUAUUUUGUUUAUUAUAUAUUCCCAGGCUGUUUUCACUUAUACUUUGAGAAGAUGAGUAGUAUGGAUUAUAUGAAUUUAUGAAUGUCUAGUAGUUUUGAUCGGGUGUUUAAUUCAUUAGUUAUGGCAAGAAACUGUCUUUUUCUUAAGGGGUUGAUGUUUUUUUUCCGUUCAAAAAUCCAAAUUCAGCUAAAUGUCGUUGCUGCUAUCUCUAAGCAUAUUGAACAUGGACAAGAGAGUGAAGUUAAGUCCAACAAAAUAAAUUUAUAUUAACAAGGUCUUAAUUCUAAUAGCCAAUAUCACUUCCGCAAUUUGAUCUCAAUAUUAUUGUCCUCCUUUCGCCAGUUAUUCGUAUAGAGACACUCAUCUGUGGUUGCAUUCUUUCUCUGUUUCAUUUAAUGAGUCUUUUUUGUGGCAUAAUAUAUCAGUGUUUAUUUUCCAAAAAAAAAAACAAGCGAUAUGUCAUUGGGUUUACCAUGUGCUUUUCUAAACUUGAUCUGCCACUUAUAAAACAUUUAGUUUUUAAUGCCAAUUUGUAAAAAAAAAAAAUGUCUUUCCUAGCUGUUGAGGGACUUCCUCAUAUGGGUAGAGCAAGAUGUUGGGCCUUGGUGUCCUCUAGUGCUAGCUGUAAGUAGUGCUUUCACAUUAUACAACUCAUCGCUAUCAUAUAGUUUAGUUAACUGAUACCCUGUUUGUUUGGGUAGUGGCUGGAGUAGUAUAAUGUGUAAUCACUUCUUCUCAAAGAAGUAAGUAAAUUGAAAGGAUUACUCGCUAAUGUGUAUUAAAAUUACUUGUAAAAAAUUGUAGUAAAGCCCUCUUUAAACUAUAUUUUUUGAUAUGUUGCUUAUAUAUGGGCUCAAGUAAUGUAAUUUUGUAUGCAUAAGCAGAAACGAAGGAUUCUAUAUGUGCAUAAAACAGGCACGGAAGCAUGCAUUACUAUAUUUAGUUGGGUUUCAAUGCAAAACUUAUUGCAAGGAGUUUCAACUUGCAUCAUGGUUGGAAAAUGACUAAUAGUCAUUGUUCACUGUUGAGUGUUGAAUAUAUCAACUCAUUACUCGUCGCACGAUUUAUGACUCGACAUAUGUGAUAGUUUACUCUGUGCCUUGAUUGGAUUAUUAUCAAUUUUAUAUAUGCCUUUAAAUUUGUUAGCUUUGUUGAGGUGUAAAUGUGUAGGUGUACACAUGAGGCAAGAGCUGAGGUAAUAUAUGCAAGUGAAAUGAUUUUACUGACCUUGUGUUGUGUUAAAUAGUGUAAUUGGUUGAGAUGUUUUUUGGUUUAUGCAUAGUGCAUUUUAAGUGUAAUGAGUAUGGACAGGUAUGAAACAGAAGCUGGGAAGCAUAUGGUUUGGUUUGUGGAAGAAGAGAUGUAGUCGGGGGUUCAACUUUUCAUGACACACACACUUGACACUUGGUUUGUCCUAUUCCUAUUUGGGGCUGUACCAAAACAAAGGGAUCUUUGGUGAGUUGGUUAUGCAGCCUGUUGAGUAAGAUGUUUUUAUUGGGGGAAAAUGCUUUACUUGUGUAUCAACAAUAGAAGCAAGCGGGUGUUAUUAACUACUACGGUCUACACUACAUAUAUUUUCCCC